This 779-nucleotide long non-coding RNA is filed under the name Dermacentor andersoni. Its description in RNAcentral is "uncharacterized LOC126543337". The record is from RNAcentral. Lineage: Eukaryota; Metazoa; Arthropoda; Arachnida; Ixodida; Ixodidae.
CCGCGCUCGAGAGAGCGCUUAUCCUUCGGUGUCAAUGACACCGGAGUUUUUGUGUCGACCUCCAUCGCUCUCUCUGAGGCGCUGGAGGACCGAGAGUUAGGCGCCGAGACACGUGCCUCGGGCCUUGGGGUUCGUUUGAUUUUAGGGCCCUGUGGGGCUGGUGUCUGCAGGGCCGUCGAAGAGGGUGGAGCAGUACUGACUGCUUCCACCACGGGGGCGGGAGGAGUCACUGCGGCACCACUGCGCGUGGGCUCGGAGGACUCCGGAGGCCUCUGUGACGCUGCCCCCGCCUGCGUCACUUCGGCAUAACUUCUUCGGGGAAGCAAGGGCAGGACCGCGAAUAAGCUGGGUGAUCUCCCUUGCAGUUAACACAAUGUGGCGAAGAAGUGCAAUUCUCUGAUUGGUGGUCGUUGGAGCUGCAUUUAGCACAAGUUGUUUGUCCUCGGCAUGCAUGUGAAGCAUGUCCAAAUUUUUGGCACUUAAAACACCGUCUGGGAUUCGGGAUAUACGGUCUCACAUUGACUUUGACAUAACCUGCAUCGAGUGAAGUAGGCAUUACGCUUGUUCCGAAGGAGUUCCUCGUCGCUUAAACCAAUGAAGUCUUCUUCAGAUAUUACUCCCCUGCUUGUAUUAAGUGUUCUGUGGGCUGAAACAGUCACUGUCGCUUUGCCAAUACUGGUAAGUUCAGAGAGCUUAUCUGCUUGAUCUUUGUUAUUCAGUUCUAGGAGGAGGUCCCCGCUAGACAUUUUGGAUGCUUUGUAUGUUGGUCCGAUUUUGUC